RNAcentral lists this ribosomal RNA (484 nucleotides) under uncultured bacterium. RNAcentral describes it as "partial 16S ribosomal RNA". It matches the Rfam family "Bacterial small subunit ribosomal RNA", at positions 30 to 507 of the family's 1533-position model. The record is from RNAcentral.
AUUGAACGCUGGCGGCAGGCCUAACACAUGCAAGUCGAGCGGAUGAAGGGAGCUUGCUCCUGGAUUCAGCGGCGGACGGGUGAGUAAUGCCUAGGAAUCUGCCUGGUAGUGGGGGAUAACGUCCGGAAACGGGCGCUAAUACCGCAUACGUCCUGAGGGAGAAAGUGAGGGAUCUUCGGACCUCACGCUAUCAGAUGAGCCUAGGUCGGAUUAGCUAGUUGGUGGGGUAAAGGCCUACCAAGGCGACGAUCCGUAACUGGUCUGAGAGGAUGAUCAGUCACACUGGAACUGAGACACGGUCCAGACUCCUACGGGAGGCAGCAGUGGGGAAUAUUGGACAAUGGGCGAAAGCCUGAUCCAGCCAUGCCGCGUGUGUGAAGAAGGUCUUCGGAUUGUAAAGCACUUUAAGUUGGGAGGAAGGGCAGUAAGUCAAUACCUUGCUGUUUUGACGUUACCAACAGAAUAAGCACCGGCUAACUUCGUG